RNAcentral lists this ribosomal RNA (426 nucleotides) under uncultured bacterium. RNAcentral's name for it is "bacterial SSU rRNA". It matches the Rfam family "Bacterial small subunit ribosomal RNA", at positions 359 to 775 of the family's 1533-position model. The record is from RNAcentral.
GAAUUGUUCGCAAUGGGCGCAAGCCUGACGACGCAACGCCGCGUGGAGGACGAAGAUCUUCGGGUCGUAAACUCCUUUCGAUCGGGAAGAACGGCUGCCGGGUGAAUAAUCCGGCAGAGUGACGGUACCGAGAGAAGAAGCCCCGGCUAACUCCGUGCCAGCAGCCGCGGUAAUACGGGGGGGGCAAGCGUUGUUCGGAAUUACUGGGCGUAAAGGGCUCGUAGGCGGCCAACUAAGUCGGAUGUGAAAUCCCCAGGCUCAACUUGGGAAUGGCAUCCGAUACUGGAUGGCUUGAAUCCGGGAGAGGGAUGCGGAAUUCCAGGUGUAGCGGUGAAAUGCGUAGAUAUCUGGAGGAACACCGGUGGCGAAGGCGGCAUCCUGGACCGGUAUUGACGCUGAGUGAGCGAAAGCCAGGGGAGCAAACGG